Molecule: non-coding RNA, 309 nt
Organism: Vigna umbellata (rice bean)
Lineage: Eukaryota; Viridiplantae; Streptophyta; Magnoliopsida; Fabales; Fabaceae
Source: RefSeq, a predicted model, not a curated record
UGCACAAUGAAAGUGAACGAGCAAGGUCGUGGAGUCAAGUUUUUAGUGAAGAUACAAAAAAACAGUCCAUUCCAGUCAUAGCAGCUUGGCAACUAAAUGAAAGAAUGUAUGGGGAACUGCAAGGUCUCAAUAAGCAAGAGACAGCCGACAGAUAUGGAAAAGAGAAAGUCCAUGAGUGGCGCCGGAGUUAUGACAUACCUCCUCCAAAUGGUGAAAGCUUGGAAAUGUGUGCCCAAAGAGCAGUUGCCUAUUUCAGAGACCAAAUUGAACCACAACUUUUAUCUGGAAAGAAUGUCAUGAUUUCAGCCA